This 229-nucleotide ribosomal RNA is filed under the name uncultured bacterium. RNAcentral describes it as "partial 16S ribosomal RNA". It matches the Rfam family "Bacterial small subunit ribosomal RNA", at positions 568 to 796 of the family's 1533-position model. The record is from RNAcentral.
UGCGCAGGCGGGCUUGUAAGUCAGUGGUGAAAUACUGCCGCUCAACGGUAGAACUGCCAUUGAUACUGUAAGUCUUGAAUAUGGUUGAGGUAGGCGGAAUGUGUCGUGUAGCGGUGAAACGCAUAGAUAUGACACAGAACGCCGAUUGCGAAGGCAGCUUACUAAGCCAUUAUUGACGCUGAGGCACGAAAGCGUGGGUAGCGAACAGGAUUAGAUACCCUGGUAGUCC